GCUUUCGUGGUGUAAUGGUCAGCACACUGAGCCGGUAAUUCAGAGGUCCGCGGUUCGAUUCCUGGCGAAGGCA
Molecule: transfer RNA, 73 nt
Filed under: Stegodyphus mimosarum
Lineage: Eukaryota; Metazoa; Arthropoda; Arachnida; Araneae; Eresidae
Rfam family: tRNA
About the family: Transfer RNA (tRNA) molecules are approximately 80 nucleotides in length. Their secondary structure includes four short double-helical elements and three loops (D, anti-codon, and T loops). Further hydrogen bonds mediate the characteristic L-shaped molecular structure. tRNAs have two regions of fundamental functional importance: the anti-codon, which is responsible for specific mRNA codon recognition, and the 3' end, to which the tRNAs corresponding amino acid is attached (by aminoacyl-tRNA synthetases). tRNAs cope with the degeneracy of the genetic code in two manners: having more than one tRNA (with a specific anti-codon) for a particular amino acid; and 'wobble' base-pairing, i.e. permitting non-standard base-pairing at the 3rd anti-codon position.
Source: Rfam by way of RNAcentral